GCAGUCGAACGGCAGCACGGGAGCUUGCUCCUGGUGGCGAGUGGCGAACGGGUGAGUAAUAUAUCGGAACGUACCCUAGAGUGGGGGAUAACGCAGCGAAGGUUGCGCUAAUACCGCAUACGAUCUACGGGUGAAAGUGGGGGAUCGCAAGACCUCAUGCUCAUGGAGCGGCCGAUAUCGGAUUAGCUAGUUGGUAGGGUAAAAGCCUACCAAGGCUUCGAUCAGUAGCUGGUCUGAGAGGACGACCAGCCACACUGGAACUGAGACACGGUCCAGACUCCUACGGGAGGCAGCAGUGGGGAAUUUUGGACAAUGGGCGCAAGCCUGAUCCAGCAAUGCCGCGUGAGUGAAGAAGGCCUUCGGGUUGUAAAGCUCUUUUGUCAGGGAAGAAACGGUGGACUCUAAUACAGGUCACUAAUGACGGUACCUGAASAAUAAGCACCGGCUAACUACGUGCCAGCAGCCGCGGUAAUACGUAGGGUGCAAGCGUUAAUCGGAAUUACUGGGCGUAAAGCGUGCGCAGGCGGUUUGGUAAGACAGAUGUGAAAUCCCCGGGCUCAACCUGGGAAUUGCAUUUGUGACUGCCCGACUAGAGUGUGUCAUAGGUGGGUAGAAUUCCACGUGUAUCACUGAAAUGCGUAGAGAUGUGGAGGAAUACCGAUGGCGAAGGCAGCCCCCUGGGAUAACACUGACGCUCAUGCACGAAAGCGUGGGGAGCAAACAGGAUUAGAUACCCUGGUAGUCCACGCCCUAAACGAUGUCUACUAGUUGUUGGGUCUUAAUUGACUUAGUAACGCAGCUAACGCGUGAAGUAGACCGCCUGGGGAGUACGGUCGCAAGAUUAAAACUCAAAGGAAUUGACGGGGACCCGCACAAGCGGUGGAUGAUGUGGAUUAAUUCGAUGCAACGCGAAAAACCUUACCUACCCUUGACAUGUACGGAAUCCUUGAGAGA
This 954-nucleotide ribosomal RNA is filed under the name Herminiimonas sp. RNAcentral describes it as "bacterial SSU rRNA". Lineage: Bacteria; Pseudomonadati; Pseudomonadota; Betaproteobacteria; Burkholderiales; Oxalobacteraceae. The record is from RNAcentral.